This 28-nucleotide small RNA is filed under the name Bombyx mori (domestic silkworm). Its description in RNAcentral is "ovarian small RNA-5214". Lineage: Eukaryota; Metazoa; Arthropoda; Insecta; Lepidoptera; Bombycidae. The record is from RNAcentral.
GAUCUGGUAAAGACGCUUACGGGCCUGC